UGGAUACGCUUGUUUCAAAGAUUAAGCCAUGCAUGUGAAAGUAAAACUAAUUAUACUGGAAAACUGCGAACGGCUCAAUAUAUCAGUUAUAGUUUAUUUGAUAAUGUCUUUUAAUUGGAUAAUUGUAGUAAUUCUAGAGCUAAUACAUGCAUAACAGCCGAACUUCGGAACGGCCGUAUUUAUUAGAUUUUAAACCAUCAUUUUUGGAUGAUUCAUAAUAACUAAUCGGAUCGUAGAGACCUUUGAGUCGACGAUAAAUCAUUCGAGUUUCUGCCCCAUCAGCUGUCGAUGGUAGUGUAUUGGACUACCAUGGCUUUCACGGGUAACGGGGAAUUAGGGUUUGAUUCCGGAGAGGAAGCCUGAGAGA
RNAcentral lists this ribosomal RNA (367 nucleotides) under Ulkenia sp. RNAcentral's name for it is "bacterial SSU rRNA". It matches the Rfam family "Eukaryotic small subunit ribosomal RNA", at positions 26 to 403 of the family's 1831-position model. Lineage: Eukaryota; Bigyra; Thraustochytrida; Thraustochytriidae. The record is from RNAcentral.